RNAcentral lists this non-coding RNA (25 nucleotides) under Mus musculus (house mouse). The record is from RNAcentral. Lineage: Eukaryota; Metazoa; Chordata; Mammalia; Rodentia; Muridae.
UCUAGAGAAGUUUUUUAAAUGUCCA